RNAcentral lists this small RNA (1024 nucleotides) under Cryptococcus neoformans H99. Its description in RNAcentral is "Cryptococcus neoformans var. grubii H99 hypothetical RNA". Lineage: Eukaryota; Fungi; Basidiomycota; Tremellomycetes; Tremellales; Cryptococcaceae. The record is from RNAcentral.
CCCUAAACCUAGCCACCCACCCAGAUCAAGCCUAGUUUCCCUUUGCCCCUCCUUGUAUUCCUUCCCGCUCUUCCCUCGACUACCCGACCUGCGACCCCGGACAUUGGUUGGUCGGUGACAAAAACCCAAGAAAGGUAUGCCUGGACUUUGAAAUCGUACAUCACAUCUGUUGACAAUUAUUGGCCACCAGGGAGAGUUGUUCGUGUGGCAGGCGAGAAAGACCAUAAACUGUACAGUGUCGAAGCCGCUUCCGGAGUGGAAAGUGGGAAAUUGGGUAGUUUGUAAGGAUGGGGUAAGUAGACGGCAAAAAGGGGCUGUGUCUGUGCCAAAUAUAGUAAAUCCGACAAGUGCUUUAAUCUCUGACAUGUUUCAGGAUAAAAUCUUGUAUGGGCGCAUCGACAAUAUUAAGCCAUUUCAGAAGGUGACCUGUGAACAGUCACUAUAAAUAGCAGCAUCAUCGGACGAAUCCGCCAUCCCAUCCAUGGCAUGCCCAUGAUAUGAAGGAAUGAGGGAGAGUACAUUACCCUUUCAUCACAAGUGAGGAUCUCUACUCAUACAUCCCCUAUGUCUUAGUGCUGACCCCCCAUUAAGGCUUUACAUUUUCGUUUCGCAGUAGAGCAUGAUUGUCUAAAGGAUAACUGUCCCGUUCGAAGUCUUCGUCCCCGCAAGCAGGAGCGCCAACUGACUUCAAAGAUGGCUCCUGGUGUCGACCACGUGGACGAUGAGAACUUUGUCAUCAACUUGCUCUCACUUCACAAUCCUCACCUAAUUCGGGAAGUUCUGCCGCCAAGGCUGACUGAUCCAAGACGAAUUUUUGAGGAUCGUUAGGCCCACAUGGAGUGUUACGGCUUAUUACUGAUUUAUUUAUUUAUUAUUUAUUCAGAUCUUGUGGUGGAGAGAACCGAAAGAAUAGAGGGAAUAUAUAUAUAUAUAUAUUUGAAUCCUUUUAGGUAGUUUCCCUUUUACUCAGAAAUCUCUCAAUGCAAGUCCGGGAGAUUACGCUCUCUAGGAUCAACAAUAUCAG